ACAGUCGUGGCCGAGUGGUUAAGGCUAUGGACUAGAAAUCCAUUGGGGUCUCCCCUGUCGACUGCG
Molecule: non-coding RNA, 66 nt
Organism: Ixodes scapularis (black-legged tick)
Lineage: Eukaryota; Metazoa; Arthropoda; Arachnida; Ixodida; Ixodidae
Source: Rfam